Molecule: ribosomal RNA, 573 nt
Filed under: uncultured bacterium
Lineage: Bacteria
Description: partial 16S ribosomal RNA
Rfam family: Bacterial small subunit ribosomal RNA
Source: RNAcentral
UGGGGAAUAUUGGACAAUGGGCGGAAGCCUGAUCCAGCAACGCCGCGUGAGGGAUGACGGCCUUCGGGUUGUAAACCUCUUUCAGUACCGACGAAGCGAAAGUGACGGUAGGUACAGAAGAAGGACCGGCCAACUACGUGCCAGCAGCCGCGGUAAUACGUAGGGUCCGAGCGUUGUCCGGAAUUAUUGGGCGUAAAGGGCUCGUAGGCGGUUUGUCGCGUCGGGAGUGAAAACAGCGGGCUUAACUCGUUGCUUGCUUUCGAUACGGGCAGACUAGAGGUAUGCAGGGGAGAAUGGAAUUCCUGGUGUAGCGGUGAAAUGCGCAGAUAUCAGGAGGAACACCGGUGGCGAAGGCGGUUCUCUGGGCAUUACCUGACGCUGAGGAGCGAAAGUGUGGGGGAGCGAACAGGAUUAGAUACCCUGGUAGUCCACACCGUAAAACGUUGGGCGCUAGGUGUGGGGUCCUUUCCACGGAUUCCGUGCCGUAGCUAACGCAUUAAGCGCCCCGCCUGGGGGAGUACGGCCGCAAGGCUAAAAACUCAAAUGAAUUGACGGGGUCAUAGCUGUUUUCCU